Molecule: ribosomal RNA, 492 nt
Filed under: uncultured bacterium
Lineage: Bacteria
Description: bacterial SSU rRNA
Rfam family: Bacterial small subunit ribosomal RNA
Source: RNAcentral
AAAGGAAUUGACGGGGGCCCGCACAAGCGGCGGAGCAUGUUCAUUAAUUCGAUGCAACGCGAAGAACCUUACCUGGGUUUGACAUAUACCGGAAACAUCUGGAGACAGGUGCCCCGCAAGGUCGGUAUACAGGUGGUGCAUGGCUGUCGUCAGCUCGUGUCGUGAGAUGUUGGGUUAAGUCCCGCAACGAGCGCAACCCUCGUCCUAUGUUGCCAGCGGUUCGGCCGGGAACUCAUAGGAGACUGCCGGGGUCAACUCGGAGGAAGGUGGGGAUGAGGUCAAGUCAUCAUGCCCCUUAUGUCCAGGGCUUGAAACAUGCUACAAUGGCUGGUACAAAGGGCUGCGAUACCGCAAGGUGGAGCGAAUCCCAUAAAGCCAGUCUCAGUUCGGAUUGGGGUCUGCAACUCGACCCCAUGAAGUCGGAGUCGCUAGUAAUCGCAGAUCAGCAAUGCUGCGGUGAAUACGUUCCCGGGCCUUGUACACACCGCCCGU